RNAcentral lists this ribosomal RNA (429 nucleotides) under Acinetobacter sp. oral taxon C51. RNAcentral describes it as "bacterial SSU rRNA". It matches the Rfam family "Bacterial small subunit ribosomal RNA", at positions 30 to 459 of the family's 1533-position model. The record is from RNAcentral. Lineage: Bacteria; Pseudomonadati; Pseudomonadota; Gammaproteobacteria; Moraxellales; Moraxellaceae.
AUUGAACGCUGGCGGCAGGCUUAACACAUGCAAGUCGAGCGGAGCGAGGGUGCUUGCACCUUAGCUUAGCGGCGGACGGGUGAGUAAUGCUUAGGGAUCUGCCUAUUAGUGGGGGACAACAUUCCGAAAGGGAUGCUAAUACCGCAUACGCCCUACGGGGGAAAGCAGGGGAUCUUCGGACCUUGCGCUAAUAGAUGAGCCUAAGUCGGAUUAGCUAGUUGGUGGGGUAAAGGCCUACCAAGGCGACGAUCUGUAGCGGGUCUGAGAGGAUGAUCCGCCACACUGGGACUGAGACACGGCCCAGACUCCUACGGGAGGCAGCAGUGGGGAAUAUUGGACAAUGGGGGGAACCCUGAUCCAGCCAUGCCGCGUGUGUGAAGAAGGCCUUUUGGUUGUAAAGCACUUUAAGCGAGGAGGAGGCGCUCUAGG